Molecule: ribosomal RNA, 235 nt
Filed under: uncultured bacterium
Lineage: Bacteria
Description: partial 16S ribosomal RNA
Rfam family: Bacterial small subunit ribosomal RNA
Source: RNAcentral
GAGCAAAUCUCAAAAAGCCGUCCCAGUUCGGAUUGCAGGCUGCAACCCGCCUGCAUGAAGUUGGAAUCGCUAGUAAUCGCGGAUCAGCAUGCCGCGGUGAAUACGUUCCCGGGCCUUGUACACACCGCCCGUCACACCAUGAGAGUCGGGAACACCCGAAGUCCGUAGCCUAACCGCAAGGGGGGCGCGGCCGAAGGUGGGUUCGAUAAUUGGGGUGAAGUCGUAACAAGGUAUC